Molecule: long non-coding RNA, 5826 nt
Filed under: Homo sapiens (human)
Lineage: Eukaryota; Metazoa; Chordata; Mammalia; Primates; Hominidae
Description: HSALNT0251938
Source: RNAcentral
AUGACUUAAUUGGUCAGGGGUGAGGCUUGAGCUUUAAUUGUUUUUCAAAAUGUCCCAGGUGAUUUUAAUGAGCAGCCAGGCUUGCCUGCUCUGACUUUUAGGAUUAAUUCCAGACUCCUGAGUGUGGUUUAAAAGGCCCUUCGUAACCUGGCUUGCCCCUCUGGUCUCGUCCUCCCAACCCACGCUCAUUUCCUCUGCUCCGAGAUACAGAACGCACCAGGCGACACUGUCUUUAAGCUUGGAAUGUUCCUCCUUUCCAUCUGCCUGGCAAAUGUUGAGUCAUCCUUUAAGUCUAGGCUGAAGGAUGUUCUUCCCUAAGAAGCAUUCCAGAUUCUUGCUUACAUAUCACAUUUAAAGUUAUGAUGGAUGGAGUGCAUAACACCUGACAGCAGCAAGACCUUUUGAGGAACCGAACAUUGACUACAGUAUAUCAUGGAUUUUCCUCAUGGAGCAUCUGUGGCUAUUUCUCGGCUGAGCUCAUCCUUUUGGAUUUGAUGAAGGCCAUGCCGUGUGUCCGCAUGUCAGGGUCCUUGAUGCCAUGCAUCAGCUGGACGUGCUUCUCCAGCAUCAAACGUUUGGUAAAGGUGACUUUGGGGAAGUUAGAGGGAGAAAAGUCAUAACUUCAUACCCAGAUCUGGCAAGGCAUCCACAUCUCACCUUGUCCUGGGAGUCCUACCUCCACGAGGUAUCUGCCUUGCACCAACAUGCAAGAGCCUCCUUAACGACCACCAUGCAGCCAGAAACUCCCACAAACUUAAAGACUGCAGGCUACAGGAUUAUCCUCAACCGUUGCUGACACAUGCCCUUCAGCUCACACCUUUUUAUGAAAAAGGAAAAACCAAGCCAAUCACAUGAUUUAAAUAUAGCACAGCAGCAGUCCCUCCAAAAUUCACUCCUAAAGCUCUGACCCCUUCCACUGGGCAAUCUAUUCUAUGAAGAGACCUGCAUACUUACUACAGCCCGUUUCUGCUGUAAUGCAACAUCGGUGCUCCUAAAAAUCACUGCACUAUGCAAAACUUCAACAAAACAACAGGGCCUCUAGCAAAAAUGGAGUCACGGAGACAACACUCAAGACUUUGUCAGUGACACAUCGAAUGAAAAUAUUUAGUUUUAACUACGUCAAAUGGUUAAGAAAUGCAAAAAACACUGCACUUUACCUUGAAAAAGACCUGCAGUGAGCUUGUGGAGGUCAGAGGGUUGCAGCUUGUGAGUUACUGUGAAGUGGGGGAAGGAGGGCAAUCUUAGUGGAAGGGAAGCUUGCAACACCAGCUGUGGAUGGAUGUGACCCACAGUUGAGAGGGAGGCCCUGGUGAAAUCGGAGGUUUGUUGUGUGUAUGUGUUUUGUGUUUUCCUACACAACUCCACAGCAUUCUGUAGUCACUUGGUAUUUCUCAGGGAUGAAAUCACACAUAAGCAAACAUGAAAUUCAGGUUAAGCUCCCAUUGUUCUGAUAAAUCUUGGUACUGGGAUAAAUUUGUUUCAGCAUAAGUGUUAUAGCAGAAGUCACUGUGUUCAAGUUUAUUCACUGCACCAUUGUGUACGGUGGGUCCAUCAAAGGAGAACUGGCUAAAUACAUGCAUGCACUCAUACCACAAGAUGCCGUGCCGCUACAGAAAUGGAGGGAAGAUCUCAAUGCACUGAUACGAAAAGAACCAUAACUACUAAGCGGAGAAAGUACUGGUACACAAAAUUAUAGAUGGAAGCUGUGUUCUGUAUUAGAAGAAUGAGAAUAUAUGCAUAUAUGCUAAUACUUGCAUAAGGAGACUUCAAGAUAAGAAACUUAGGAGUUAAGACUUCACUAUAUUCCUUCAUAUUGUUUAAAUUUUUAAACUAUGUAAAUAUAGCACAUAUCCAAAAAAAAUUUUACCGCAAAAAAAACUGAGCUUAUUGAGAUAUAGUUUAUAAAAUCACUUUUUUAAAAGUAGAGUUCUAUGAAUAAGUGCCACCACAGUCAAGACAUAGAACAGUUGUGUCAUCCCCCAAAAUUCCCACGUGCCCUUUAUAAUCAACCCCACCCCCUCGACCCCGCUCUUAGCAGCCAGGGAUUUGCUUUCUAUCUCUGGUUUUGCUUUCUCCAUUUGUCAUAUAAAUGGAGCCAUACAGUACACGUGAAGCUUUGAGUCUCGCUUCUUUCACUCAGCAUAAUACACAUAUAAUUCCUCCACGCUGUUGGGUCUAUUGGUAUUUGUUCCUUUUCUCUGCUGACUAGUGUUCCAGUGUGGAUGUGCCCAAGUGUGUUUAUUCACUUGCCAAGUGAAAGCCAUUUAGGGAUUUUCUAGUUUUUGAUAUUAUGAAUAAAGCCACUAUAAACAUUUACUAUAAUCAUUCAUCUGUGCAUAUGAUUUCUCUUGGGUAAAUACCCAGGAGCGGGAUUACUAAGUCAUAUGUUAAAUAAGAAACUGUCUAACUGUUUUCCAGAGCGGCUGUCCCCUGCAUACCCACCAGCAAUGGAGAGAAACUGCCACCGUUCCGCCAUCUUUUAACAUUUGGCAUUGCCACUUCAUUUAGUUCAGUCAUUCUACAGGGUGGCCAGUAGUAUUUUGUUGUGGUUUUAAUUUGCAUUUCUCUAAUGACUUAUUAAGGUAACAAAAAAAUCUUUCUGGCCAGGCACAGUGGCUCACGCCUGUAAUCCCAGCACUUUGGAAGCCAAGGCGGGCGCACCACUUGAGGCCAGGAGUUCAAGUCCAGCCUGGCCAACAUGGCAAAAUCCUGUCUCUACUAAAAAUACAAAUAUUAGCUGGGCAUGGUGGUGCAUGCCUGUAAUCCCAGCUACUCAGGAGGCUGAGGCACAAGAAUCACUUGAACUCGGUAAGCAGCAGUUGCAGUGAGCAGAGAUAGUGCCACUGCAUUCCAGCCUGGGCGACAGAGUGAGUGAAAACUCUGUCUCAAAAAACAGAUAUAUAUUUCAAUUAGUAGGUAAAACACCAACUUACAGUAAGCCUCUUUCUUCAAAGAAAAAGCGUACAAUCAAAGUUUUGUUGUUUUUUAAUUAUUAAAGGGAUGUUUGGGGGGCAUUUUCCCUCCCCCAUAAGCUCCUUGAGAACAGAAGCUGUCAAUUGUUCAUCUCUGCAUCAGAAAACAGUAAAUACUGUGGGAAUGAAUAAAUAAAGAUUAACUGAACAAAACUGUCUACUUGGAAAACAUCGGCAGGUUCUACGAAGUAAUCAUGGAGUAACAAAUUUAGGAUAAAGUGCUGGACACAGAGGAACUCUGCUUAUUUCCUGCAGGAUGGCCAAGACAUGACGGUGUUUAAAUACGGAUAAGAAAGAGCCUGUAAUAAAUGAAGAGACUGAGGAUAGAGGCGAGCGAUGAAUGAAUGAGCAGGGAGACAGGGAUUCAGACACAGGAAGAACAGCUCUUCCUGUGUGGCCAGAGCCAAGGCGUCAUCCGGGGACAGGUGUGAUGCUUAUUAAAGUCAGGGGUGGGUGGGUGACGAAGGGGCCCAGAUAUUGAGGGAAUUCCUGCUCAGCAGCUUCCAUUUUCAAAAUGAAGCACGUAUGGUACAUUUUAGACUUCAGACUCAAAUAACUGUGGCCUUCAUUUUCUUAUUUCUUUAUCAAAGUAACAAAUGCUUAUUGCACAAUGUAAAAGAGAAAAGAUUGCUUCCAAUCUCACCCAUCAAAAUAACCACUGUCAAUUUCUAAUGACACAGCCUUCCCACUUUUCUGAAUAUACACACUGAUGUGUAUUUAUAUUUCUAAAACCGAUCUAUAUUAUACAUAUUGGCUUUCAAACUAAUUCUUUUUCACUUGUAAAACACACAUAUCUACACACACUGACAGUUGUUUUCUUGUUUGUAUUUUUGAGACAGAGUCUCUGUCGCCCAGGCUGGAGUGCAGUAGUGCAAUCUCAGCUCACCAUAGCCUCUGCCCUGGGAUUCAAGUGAUUCUCGUACCUCAGCCUCCCAAGUAGCUGGGACUGCAGGUGUGUACCACCACACCUGGAUAAUUUGUGUGUUUUUAAUAGAGAUAGGGUUUCACCAUGUUGCCCAGGCAGGUCUCAAACUUCUUACCUCAGGUGAUCUACCCGCCUCAGCCUCCCAAAGUGCUGGAAUUACAGGCGUGAGCCACCAUGCCCAGCUAGUUCUGCAUUCUUAACAAGUGUAUUGUAUUCUGUUGCACAAAUGAACCAUGAAUUGUUUAUCUUCUAUUAAAGAUUCAGGUUGUCUCAACUUCUUAGUAACUACAGACACAAAUUUCCAUAAUCAAUUAUUUCCUUUGUAUAAACUAUUGAAGGCAGUCUUUCCAAUAUAAAGGUUGUGAAAAAUAAGCCUCUUUAAAUGCCAAACUGCCCUAAAAAAGAUUCAUUCUACCACCACUAGCACGUUCACCAAGGGAGUUUCCCACACCAGCUCUAGUCUUCAACUCUACCAAAGUGAUAGGUAAAACAGUCGACCAACUUUUUCUCUAAAUGGCCAGACAGUAUGUUAGGCCAGAAACCAUAAGGUUUCUGUUGCAACUACUCAACUCUGCCCUUGUACCUUAAAACCAAGAAUAGACGAUAAUAAUUAAAUGAAUGGGCGUGGCUGUGUUCUCAUAAAUUAUUUACAAAAACAGGUGGCAGGCCCAUGAAACGCAGUUUGCUGAUCCCUGAUUGAGACCACUGUUUCACAUUCAAUAGAAAAUAGAGACAAGUCUCAAUCAUUCAGAACCAAAUUUAUGUAAAUUUAUGUAGAUAAUCUAAAGCCAGUCAUAACUAUAAAGUGAAAAGAAUGCUUUUUUUUCAUAUGCCAUGCUCUAAACAGGUUCUGAGAACCAGCACUAUCACUGUCACGUGCCUAGAUUACCGAGGUGACAACUUUGAAAUAAAGAGGGUUAAACCAACGUGUGCUUACCACUAUGCUUAUUUAAAACAACAAAAACAAAACCAAGUCUCCGAAGUUUCUGGUUAUAAGACUGUCUGGUCUGCUGAUGACACUGUACAACUGAAAAAGUAAUGACGCAGAACAGUAACAAAUGCACAAGAACAGAAGGCCAAAUCCGGAGCAGAUGGCAAAGAAACGUGUCGCACCGUAGUUUCUGAGCUUAGGGCAAUGUCAGACACUUGGGCAGAGAAAAAAAGAAAGGGCUGAAGGAAGGCUACCUAACUUUCUAACAAGCUGCCAGCAUCAUGCCAAUGAAACCCAGAAAUGCCUGCCAGGGCACGGUGGGGCUACCAGGGGUACAUGCCUGCCAGGGGCCUCUGUGUCCACCUCCACUGGCCAGUGGGGAUGUGCAGCAGAGGUUUGGGACUCUCACUGCAGACCCUAAACAAACCUCACAUCUCUUCUCUGUCAGGGGACUCUUGGGUCAAUACCCUCGUGCCAUCCACUGGGUACAUCUUUAUUAAUCCUCAUUAGAAAGCCGACAAAAUAAAUCCUGACUAAUCUUUACUGCCUCUCCUUCACAAUGACUGACGCCCUGGAAAGAGGGCUGACAGGUGCCUUGAGGCAUCCAUUGCCAUGAUCAUAAACUCUGAAACAUUCACCAGAGACCACCUGACUAUGAAAAAAAUCUUUGCUGCCCUAUUUGUCUAGAUCUGGCUCAACUUCAUUCCCCUUCUACUUGCAGGCAUCUGUCCUACCUUUGAAGCCUCCCUGGUUCCCAAGAUGUCCAUCUACAGAUGGGUGACAUGUUAUUUCUCUUAUUAUUCCUGUUCUCAGAGAAUCCAGUCUUCAAAAAGGGACCACUGGCAGGAAUACACAGAAUAUUUUCUCCUAGUACAGUAGUUAUAGAAUCUUUUGGCCCUUUUUAAUCAUAAAGCAAUUGAAACAGAAAAAGGUCACUGUGAAAGAUUUUUUUCCCCGUAUAAUAGCUAGUAUUUUAUAAAAGGACAAAUAUGGUUGGG